Molecule: transfer RNA, 68 nt
Filed under: Marmota monax (woodchuck)
Lineage: Eukaryota; Metazoa; Chordata; Mammalia; Rodentia; Sciuridae
Description: tRNA.Ala
Rfam family: tRNA
About the family: Transfer RNA (tRNA) molecules are approximately 80 nucleotides in length.
Source: RNAcentral
GGAGUGUAGCUCAGUGGUAGAGCACUAACCUAGCAUGCUUGAGAUCCUGGGUUCAGUCCCCAGUACCA